This 337-nucleotide unclassified non-coding RNA is filed under the name soil metagenome. Its description in RNAcentral is "partial contains 5.8S ribosomal RNA, internal transcribed spacer 2, and large subunit ribosomal RNA". The stretch from base 1 to 120 matches the Rfam family "5.8S ribosomal RNA", at positions 35 to 154 of the family's 154-position model. The record is from RNAcentral.
GAUGAAGAACGCAGCGAAAUGCGAUAAGUAAUGUGAAUUGCAGAAUUCAGUGAAUCAUCGAAUCUUUGAACGCACAUUGCGCCCGCCAGUAUUCUGGCGGGCAUGCCUGUUCGAGCGUCAUUUCAACCAUCAAGCCCCCGGCUUGUGUUGGGGACCUGCGGCUGCCGCAGGCCCUGAAAACCAGUGGCGGGCUCGCUAGUCACUCCGAGCGUAGUAGAUUUCAUCUCGCUCAGGGCGUGCUGCGGGUUCCGGCCGUUAAACCACCUUCAUAACCCAAGGUUGACCUCGGAUCAGGUAGGAAGACCCGCUGAACUUAAGCAUAUCAAUAAGCGGAGGA